Molecule: long non-coding RNA, 1403 nt
Organism: Pezoporus occidentalis (night parrot)
Lineage: Eukaryota; Metazoa; Chordata; Aves; Psittaciformes; Psittacidae
Exons: 2
Source: RefSeq, a predicted model, not a curated record
GCUAUUAAGAGAAACCCUGCAUGGUUUACACUAACUGCUUGGAAGUAUUUUGUUUUGAAUAAAGAAGUCAAAAUUUAAUUAACUUGACUCAAAGUAAAGUGAGGGGGUGUCAUUGUCCACAGGGAAGAGAUCAUAAACCACACGCAGAGCUACUAACAUGCACUAUGACAUUAACAAUCAAACAACACAAUUGUCUCAUAGCCUGAUUCAGUAAGGCGAUGUACUGUUCUGUUUCAGCUGAAACUUCCUUCCAAUCAGGUAAGUUUAGGCACUUACCUUUCUGAUCUCAAAACAAAAUCCAACUUUAAGGCAGUAUGUGAUGGCUCCCCAGGAUACACAUGCAUGUGUAAUCCUGUCCUAUAUAAUUACUGCCUGCCUACAUGAGCUCUCUGUGUGUUCCAGUCAAGUAUUCUCCUUUCUUGUUCAAACUGUUCUGUUCCUGUUCCUGAAUAUCACAAGGUGACUGUUUUCUGUUGGUGGGUGGAUAAAACAUUGCUGGCUGUGAUUAAACUUGAGCACCCAAGCCUGGGAUCAAGAGAGAGAAAGUGCAGAGUGCAGCAAGCACAUCUCAGAUUAAUGUGGUCCUUGGUGUCACAAGUGUUUUCUGAUCUGUCUGCUGAAAGAGGCCAACAUCAUGUUCUGCCUCCAAAUGCAUCAUAAGCAGCUGCUGCAGCUUAUCUACCAGAGCCUCCCCUGCCACUCCAAUCAGCCUUACUAUACUGAACAACACUCUGCUAUUUUAAAGAAAACGGAAAAGGAUGUACUUGACAGCAAAUGCUCCAGUGUUGCCCCGGUUAAGGAUGGACAUAAGCACAUGCUUAGGAGCUUUUUUGUAUCAUGGAAUUGGAGAGUUUCUCAGCCCUCAAGACUUUCUUCCUUCUCUGUCUGAGAAUCCACAAGGCUGUGAUUGAAGUUGGUCUGAUGCCAGUGUUAGCAUUUCUUAUGGGACAAGAAAAAUUGGGUCCCUGAGUUUUCUAAAUACAGUGAGAAGCAAUGGCUAUUUUAAUGUAAGAAAUUAUUUAAUAUAUGUGCUCUUCAACAGAGAUGCAACUUCAAAAAUAAACCUAAUAAUGAAUUGCAAAAUCUCACCUUUUUUCUUCUUCAAAAUGACAGUUUUUAUUGUUGCAUCUCCUUUUUAUUCCCCUUGAAAAUAUGCCCAAACUUGUUAACAGCAAGCAGAUAGAAGAUUUACCCUAUAAAAAGCACCAGUAAUUCCAACUGUCAGUAUUUUCUGUUCUUAUACAACAUGUUAGCUGAAAGAAGAUGAAACCUGAAAUGAAUCCAGAUUUUGGCUUCAUCUCCAUAUAUGUAAUAAAAUGACCACAUUCAGUACUAAUAUUAUAUAAUUAAAGACCAUGCAUGAAUCACCUAGCAUGAGGGCUAAAUAAAAUUUGUCUUUAUUU